RNAcentral lists this signal recognition particle RNA (298 nucleotides) under Cebus imitator (Panamanian white-faced capuchin). RNAcentral's name for it is "Metazoan signal recognition particle RNA (ENSCCAG00000008020.1)". It matches the Rfam family "Metazoan signal recognition particle RNA". Rfam says of the family: The signal recognition particle (SRP) is a universally conserved ribonucleoprotein. It is involved in the co-translational targeting of proteins to membranes. The record is from RNAcentral. Lineage: Eukaryota; Metazoa; Chordata; Mammalia; Primates; Cebidae.
GCCGGUGGCCAUGGCCCGUGCCUGUAGUCCCAGCUACUCGGGAGGCUGAGAUGGGAGGAUUCCUUGAAUCCAGGAGUUCUGGGCUAUAGUGUGCUAUGCCGAUUGGGUGUCCACCCAAAGUUCAGCAUCAAUAUGGUGACUUCCUGGGAGCAGGUGGACACCAGGUUGCCUAAGGAGGCGUGAACCGGCCCAGGUCGGAAACCGGGCAGGUCAAAACUCCCGUGCUGAUCAGUAGUGGGAUCAUGCCUGUGAAUAGCCACUGCCCUCCAGCCUGGGCAACAUAGCGAGACCUGUCUUU